This is a long non-coding RNA of Neofelis nebulosa (Clouded leopard), 6985 nucleotides long. RefSeq lists it as uncharacterized. The transcript is spliced from 5 exons. Lineage: Eukaryota; Metazoa; Chordata; Mammalia; Carnivora; Felidae. The record is from RefSeq and is a predicted model, not a curated record.
CCCCGCCAGCCCCUCCGCCGCACAGGCCCGGCCCCUUAAAGGGACACGCACGGGCCGCGCGUCCGCCGCCAGUCGGCGCUCCCGCAGCUGCCGGGCGACCCCCAGGCGGGGGCGGGUCGGCCGGCCCGAGUCUGCCCGCGGCUUCCCGGAACAAUAAGCUCCGGGCCCGAGCGCCGUGGACCCGCCCGGGACCCCGAGAGAAGGCGCCGCGGCGACCUCUCUGUCAGGCCCGCCGAGGCGGCGGGGGGCUGAGGCGUGACCCGGCCCGGCCCCAGGCUGUUGGCAGGCGACGUCGGGGGAACGGCCCGAGCCCGCCGGGACUCUAACCUUCCUGCCCCGCCGCCCGUAGCACCGACGUCCGCGGCCGCGCCGACGACGGCCCCUCCCCCGGGUCCCGGGACUCUGAGAAACUCCUCAAGCGUUCACAUUGGAUUUUUCUGUCAAGACUACAUUGUUGACCAGCUAAUAACAUCCAGUGUUUUCAGAGCCCUUCGUGAUGCUGGUCACCCUCCACUGGGCAGUCGGUCCAGCUAAAACCCUGCCUCCAGCCCCCAACGUGAAGUUCCAAGUGCAGCCUGGCUGACGUGGUAUACAGUGGGACUACUACUUCCCUAACCCAAGACGCCUGACCUCCAGUAACACCACCCACGAUGACACCAGGAAAACCCCAUAGCCAACAUUAUACUUAAUGGUGAAGGAAUGAACACCUUCCCCCUAAGGUCAGGAACAAGACAAAGAUGGCGACUUUCAUCUCUUAUUUCAACAUCGUACUAGAGGUUCCAGCCAGGCAAAGCAGAUGGAACACGAACCUGACCAAUGCCUUUAAAGACCAGGGACAUUUUCUGGAUGGAACUAAUGCCUUGGAAACAGCACAGACUCAAGUAAGUUCCCUGACGGUCAGGGGUUUUCAUCAUAAACAUAAUGAGGAUAAUUCAGCACCUUCUGUUUAAACAGCACACCAGGCUAGGAGCACCUCUCCACUCGGGAAACUUCCCUGGUUGACCCCACUGCAGCCUGCAGGUAUGAUCUUCUCUCAGCAGAGCAGAAUGUCAAGUGUUUGUCUGCUGCCUGUUUACACCCAAGGCUCACAACCUUUACACCACCUCACAGAAUCACAGACUGACAGAGUACAAGGGUCACCUGGAGGUCAUCAGUCCAGCCUCCUAGUCCAUAGGUGAAAACUCUGAGGCAAUUCCACAGAACCUACCCCAUGGUCCAGAAAACAGGCAUCUAUACUGAAGAGGGCGCUAGAAAUAACACAGGCAGACCGGCUGUGGUCUAUGGAAGGCGGCAGCCCAGGUAAUUUUCCAUGCCUCUCUCAAGAACUCAUGCUUAUAAAUGCUUAUCAUUUUUUAAGUUUACUUAUCUUGAGAGAGAGAGAGAGAGAGAGAGAGAGCAUGAGGGACAGAGAAAAAGGGAGAGAGAGAAAAUCCCAAGCAGGUUCUGCCCUUUCAGUGCAGAGCCCGAUAAGCUCUUUUUUAAUUUAAAAAAAAUUUUUUUAAAUGUUUUUAUUUAUUUUUGAGACAGAGAGAGACAGAGCAUGAGCAGGGGAAGGACAGAGAGAGAGGGAGGAAUAGAAUCCGAAGCAGGCUCCAGGCUCUGAGCUGUCAGCACAGAGCCCGAUGCGGGGCUCGAACUCACAGACGGCGAGAUCAUGACCUGAGCUGAAGUCGAACACUUAACCGACUGAGCCACCCAGGCGCCCCUUAAAUUUUUUUAAUUAAAAAAAAUUUUCAUUUUUUAAGUAGGCUUCGCACCCAGCAUGGAGCCCAUUGCAGAGUUUGAACUCACAGCCCUUGAGAUCAAGACCUGAGCUUAGAUCGAGUCAGACACUUAACCAACUGAGGCACCCAGGUGCCCCCCCCACCUUUUUAAAGAAAUAAAACACUGCAGACAAAUAUGCAGCCCCUAUGUACCUCUCUCCAAGUCCACCGCCCCUCCGACAUCCCAGAGGGAACCCCCAGCCUCAGGUUGGUCUUUUCGCCCCUGUGUUUUGUUGUUGUUGCUUUUUUUAAAUGCACACACAUGUAUCGAUGAACGAUAUUCAGCUAUGCUUCACAUGUGUUUAGACAGAUGCUACCAUUUGGCCCGCUUCAAUCCCGCUUGAGAUUAUCCAGCUGGCAGCUCGAGCCCUGGCUCUCUCCCUCCCUGACUCACUCAGCUCCUCUCUGGUGAAGGGCUAGCGGUCCCGUGCCCAGCUGCUCACUAGUACAAUGAGCAGCACAGGCACCGUUCUGCCUCGAGGCUCUUCACAUACAUAUGUGGGGACCGCCUCCAGACUGUCCACCGGGAAAGGGAACACUGCUGACCCAUAGAGCGAGCAGCGCGCUAGCUAACAUUUACUGAGCAUUCACUCCACAACAGCACUGUGGUAAGAGGUUUCUCCCCAUUGUAUGAUUCUCCACAGCCUCUCUUAGAGAGUGGAUUCUGCCACUCCCCCAAUUUACUAUUGAAGAAAUGGUGGCUUACUAAGAAUAAGUAUCUUGCUGAGGCUGUACAGCUGAUGGAAGGAAAGAGCAGGUUGCUGAACCCCCAAUGUGGGGGCCAUGGCUCUUAACUACUGUGCCAGUGGUUCUUGAGUGUGGCCCCGGAAGAGCAGCAGCAGCAGCAUCUGGAAACUUAUUAGAAACGUGAAUCCUUAGGCCUCACCCUUUGGCCAAUGGAAUCAGGAACUCUGAAUGGGUUCAGUGACCUGUGGUUCCAGAAGCCUGCCUAGAGGGGCUCCUGGGUGGCUCAGGCGAUUAAGCGACAGGCUCCAGGUUUCUUCUCAGGUCAUGAUCUCACAGUUCCUGAGGUGAAGCCCUGUGUGGGGCUCUGCUCUGAUGGUAUGGAGCUUGCUUGGGAUUCUUUCUCACCUCUCUCUCUGCCUGUUGCCCCCUCACAUUCUCUCUCUCAAAACAAACAAACAAACAAACAAACAAACAAACAAACAAACAUUAAAAAAAAAAAAAAAAGAAGCCAGCCUGGGGUUCUGCUACCAGGGUCUGAGAGCCACUGCUCUAACCCACCCCCCCUCCUCAACCUCCAAACCAUGGGUUAGUUACACAGAGCCACGGGGACCACUAUUUUCCUUUAGGAUUUGGAAUCUGGAAGGUUUAACUACUUUGUCAUGAGCUCAGGGCACAUACGUGCUCCUGUCUCUGGUAACCAUGAUUCCACAAGCAUCCUGAAGGAAAAUGAGGUAAAUGAGUUUUUACUUUACAAGAAGUUGCCAAGAUGCUCUCGAAAGCAAUUUUAUAGAUUAUGCUCUGGCCAGGAACAGACAAAGGCUCUGGUUUCUGCACAUUCUCGCCACCACUCUGCAUUGUGGAAACGUGCUAAUUUUUGCUAGUCUAAGGGUGGACUUUCACUAAGGUUUCAACCUACACCUCCCUGGUGGUGGUGCUGAGCGCUCCUUCUGAUCAGUCAGCUGUGCUUGCUGAGAGGGAUCACACAGGUUGGCAGCAAAGAGGUUCUGUAGCGUUAUAACCAGAGGAGUCUGAGAGAUGGUCCACACUGACUGAACUCUGAAACAGCUCUAAGGAACUCUCAUAUAGAAGCCCAGGGUAGUCAGAGGCCCUGAAGCCUCACACAUGAACUGGGUGGGGACCUGACCUAGUCCUUUCACCUGUGCGGUGGCCCCCAAGUGGGGGGGGGGGUUCUCCAGGGGCUCUGAAGACUCUAGCCUGUCCCAGAGUGGAAAGGGACUGACCCAGGAUCUCAAUGAGGCAGGAAGGGAAGCCAGGCUUGUGUGACCCAGGCAGCAAACCCACACACCUCCACGGUGAGACAUCUGCCCACAAACCCCUUACUACCUCAGCAUCAUACUUUUCGUUGAUGGCAGGCUCAGUGGUGACCAGUUUCAUCCUGCUGGCAAACCGCAGUGAAGACAGCUGAAAAACAGAUCAGACAGCCCUCUAUGUCUUUGGCCAAUUGCUUAUGAAUAGAGAUAUUUUCAAAACAGGCCAAAGGAGUCCACUAGGAAAGACGAAUUUCUGCAUAUAAGUCUACUCCAAUGUGAAGUGUGGGGUCUCCUUGGGAGUUCCACCCGAGUCCCUCUGGAGGGGCAGCCAGGCAGGGGUAAUUAUGGCCGCAGGCCCAGGAGGCAGCCACGUAAGUAGGCACUUGAGAAACAGCCCCGGCACUGUGCCCCACUGCACCGAUGUUACACGACAGGUGGAGGACUGUCCCUUGGCAACGAGGAACUGCCAGUGGUAGCAUGGGGCGGGCCCUGAGAUCCCAGCCUCACACGAUGGUGGGCUGUCGCAGGGCCCCGAAACAGGGGGGCGGGCCUGGGGGAGGGCCACCCAGAAGUGGCCCAGAAGAAGGCCCGAAAGCGCUCUUCAGUCCACCCUGGUGAUUAAGAACCCUACCGCUGACCCACCACGCGACCUCAAACAGGUUUUGUAGCUUCUCUGUAAAGUCAGGGAGACUUCAUGAAGAGGUGGGUGGUGUGCUCUGGAUGGAGCUGGCAGGAGGUCCUCCGGAGGAGGCCCCUGUCACUAGUCGGAGCUGCUUCUGUGUGGGGUGGAUUCGGACUCUCCUGCUCCAAACACAGCAGCGAGUGUGGCCACGACCCCCUUGCUGUGUUUACUCCCACACAUACGUGCAGCGGCCCUGAAUAAAGCAAUGUGAUCCACGACAGGAACACUGUCAAGGUUUUAAAGCAUUUGGAGAAGAGACUCAUUAGCUUCCACACCCCAAUAUGCCUUCGUCCCAACCCCCUGAGGCCCCUCCAGCAGCUCCUCUGGGCUCCAUGGGCACCGUCCUGGGUCACAGGAUGGGAUGGCGGGGUACCAGCAGAAUGGCUUUCUAUGCGGUGACCAUCUCAGGGGUGGGAAUGAGAGAGAGGGGCCUUCCACCGUCUUGGAGGGCAUUGCUCAACAAGGCAGUCAGGAGGCCCAAUUUUCAUAUGGCUCCUCUCGGGGUUCACUCGUGCUUUGUUAUACUAUGCGGUUCCUGAAGCCUUCCCCCCCUGGGGAUGCUGCCUGCACGUCAGUGGGAGCUCCCUCCCCGGCCUCCCAAGCCCCAGGGCGCUCUCUCUGGAAGCUGGAAUGGUCCCUGAUGCAAGAAACUGGGAGGCCCUGCAGGAGCAUCUUGCCCUGCAACGUGCCUGGAAAGGACCUGUUUCACCUAAGUGGAUUCGCCAGAUGACUGAGGCUUGCCUUAAACAUCCACACCUGACAAAAUGUCUAUGGAGCACUUUCCAAAUCUGUCUUAUUUAUGAUGAGUGGCCCUUCAGAGGAAGAAGGGAAGACUCAGCCGGAAUGCCCAGUUGUGUGAGCUCACCUGUGUCACUGCCUCAGCCAUUAGAGCCCAUAUUCCUGCCUCUGGGUCUCCUAAGCUUGUCCCCUCCCAGGUCCCCUGGGUCCUGCUGCUGGGUUAAUCUUCCUGAGUCACAACUCUGGCCCCAGCCCUCCCUGCUCAAACCCCAUGACACCCCAGCAACCAACAGAACAGCCAAGGCGGCACCCUGGCCGCCAGGACCCGAGCAGACUCUGGAGUCUUUUCUCCCCCUUCUCCUUCCUGAACACCACCCCCCACUCCCCCUGCAGCAGCCAGGUGUUCCCGGCAUGGGCCACACCAUCAGGCCCACAGUUGCCUCUGCCAGAAGCAUCUCUGCUUUCUUUUUAUUUUAUUUUAUUUUAUUUUAUUUUAUUUUAUUUUAUUUGUUUUUAAAUGUUUACUUAUUGUGAGAGAGAGCGCGCACACGUGCGUAAGGGCAGAGAGGGAGAGAAAGUAUCCCAAGCAGGCUCUGUGCCGUCAGCACAGAGCCCAAUGUGGGACUUGAACCCACAAGCCAUGAGAGCCUAAUCCUGAACCAAAACCAAGAGCCAGCCACGUAACGAAUUGAGCCACCCAGGCAACUCGCCUCUCUGCUUUCUGUACCACCAACCCUUUAAACCCAGCCAGCUCGGUGCCCACCUUCCUCACCCCACUUUCAGGAAAAAUACCUUUUCCUCUGAAGGAUUCUUUCGUCCAGACCUCUCACAUUACUCAGGGCCAUGGCAAGGAACUCUGAGGCGCGAGGCCACGUAUAAGUCACCUCUACCGAGCUGCUCUUCCCCCCAUACGCACACACAGUACGUGCUCAAUGCCCAUCAGUUUGCACCAGCCUCAUAACCACAGCCUGGAACCCUGUGGUGCUUCUAAGAUUUUUCAGCGUGUAAUUAUGAAGAACAAGAAAUCAGCUGCCCUAGAUCCCAAUUCACAGGAGCAGCACCGUGGGAAGCAUGGUCCUUGCCACCACAAAACCCUCUUCACAUAGACUCCCACGGUGCGCCUGCUCCCUGCCUUGCCUCUUCCUCAACACAGCCUCUGCCCCUUGGUACUUGGUAUUUGGAUCCCGCAACAAUUUUGGUUGAUUCAGUCCCCGGAUCUCUUCCCUCUUGACAAUGUCUAUGGCCCAGUAUGCCAGCUUAGCCAGCCCGGAGCCAGCCUUACCCAGCCCUGGAACCCACAAGAAGGGAUUCCAACCAGGCCGCCUCGGCUAUCUUUACGUACCGUCUCUUCUAACUGGGCGGCUUCUCCGUAGAUGUUUGUCAAGAGAACCAUAUUGCAAUUUCCCCCUGCAGAAAGCAGGACACAGAAGGGCCAUGAACCAUGUGGGUAUUCUGCCAAGAGAUUCUUUCAAGGCUGGUGGGGGUCUGCUAUGGGUUGAGAGUUUGUGUCCUGACAAAAUUCCUAUGUUGAAGUCCUAUCCCCAAGUGUGAUGGUAUCUGGAGAUGGGGCCUGGGGGAGGUGAUCAGGUUUAGAGGAGGUCCUGAGUGUGGAGCCGGCAUAAUGGGAUUAGUGCCCUUAUAUGAGAGAAAGAGAAAGACCAGAACUCUGUCUCUCUUUCUGGUCCCUUUCUCUUUUCUUUCUUGCUCUUUGCCAUGUGAAGGCACAGAAAGAAAGCAGCUGUGUAUGAGCCAAAAAGAGCUCUCACCAGGAACCAUCCAUGCUGAACCUUGAUCUGGGACUUCCAGCCUCCAGAGCUGUGAGGAAUAAAUGUCUAUUGUUGAAG